ACUCAAAUGAAUUGACGGGGGAGCGCACAACCGGUGGAGCAUGUGGUUUAAUUCGAUACGAAGCGAAAAACCUUACCCAGGUUUGACAUGUACCUGCAAAGCUCUGGAAACAGAGCCUUCUUCGAGAGUGGUACACAGGUGAUGCAUGGCUGUCGUCAGCUCGUGUCGUGAGACGUCUCUUUAAGUAGAGUAACGAGCGCAACCCUUAUUGCUAGUUAUACGUGUCUAGCGAGACUGCCUUGAAUUUUUCAGGGAGGAAGGAGAGGAUGACGUCAAGUCAGCAUGUCCCUUACAUCUGGGGCAACACACAUCCUACAAUGGAGCCGACAAUAGGCUGCGACGUCGUGAGACUGAGCAAAUCCUACAAACGGCCCCUCAGUUCGGAUUGCAGGCUGCAACUCGCCUGCAUGAAGCCGGAAUCGGUAGUAAUCGCAAAUCAUCAGGUUGCGGUGAAUACGUUCUCGCUCCUUGCACACACCGCCCGU
This 485-nucleotide ribosomal RNA is filed under the name uncultured bacterium. Its description in RNAcentral is "partial 16S ribosomal RNA". It matches the Rfam family "Bacterial small subunit ribosomal RNA", at positions 899 to 1397 of the family's 1533-position model. The record is from RNAcentral.